CGAUAAUCAGGAUCAAUAAC
RNAcentral lists this unclassified non-coding RNA (20 nucleotides) under Mus musculus (house mouse). RNAcentral's name for it is "oocyte_clustered_small_RNA4255". The record is from RNAcentral. Lineage: Eukaryota; Metazoa; Chordata; Mammalia; Rodentia; Muridae.